AUCAACUUUCGAUGGUAGGAUAGAGGCCUACUAUGGUGGUGACGGGUGACGGAGAAUUAGGGUUCGAUUCCGGAGAGGGAGCCUGAGAAACGGCUACCACAUCCAAGGAAGGCAGCAGGCGCGCAAAUUACCCAAUCCUGACACGAGGAGGUAGUGACAAUAAAUAACAAUACCGGGCUCAAUCGAGUCUGGCAAUUGGAAUGAGUACAAUCUAAAUCCCUUAACGAGGAACAAUUGGAGGGCAAGUCUGGUGCCAGCAGCCGCGGUAAUUCCAGCUCCAAUAGCGUAUAUUAAAGUUGUUGCAGUUAAAAAGCUCGUAGUUGAAUUUCGGGGUUAGUAGGUUGGUCAUGCCUCUGGUAUGUACUGGUCUCACUGAUUCCUCCUUCCUGAUGAACCGUAAUGCCAUUAAUUUGGUGUUGCGGGGAAUUUGGACUGUUACUUUGAAAAAAUUAGAGUGUUUAAAGCAAGCUAACGCUUGAAUACAUUAGCAUGGAAUAAUGAAAUAGGACGUUCGAUCCUAUUUUGUUGGUUUCUAGGAUUGACGUAAUGAUUAAUAGGGAUAGUUGGGGGCAUUAGUAUUCAAUUGUCAGAGGUGAAAUUCUUGGAUUUAUUGAAGACUAACUACUGCGAAAGCAUUUGCCAAGGAUGUUUUCAUUAAUCAAGAACGAAAGUUAGGGGAUCGAAGACGAUCAGAUACCGUCGUAGUCUUAACCAUAAACUAUGCCGACUAGGGAUUGGAUGAUGUUAAUUUUUUAAUGACUCAUUCGGCGCCUUACGGGAAACCAAAGUGUUUGGGUUC
Molecule: ribosomal RNA, 799 nt
Filed under: uncultured Glomus
Lineage: Eukaryota; Fungi; Glomeromycota; Glomeromycetes; Glomerales; Glomeraceae
Description: SSU rRNA
Rfam family: Eukaryotic small subunit ribosomal RNA
Source: RNAcentral